Molecule: ribosomal RNA, 497 nt
Filed under: uncultured bacterium
Lineage: Bacteria
Description: partial 16S ribosomal RNA
Rfam family: Bacterial small subunit ribosomal RNA
Source: RNAcentral
GAUGAACGCUGGCGGCGUGCCUAAUACAUGCAAGUCGAGCGAGCAGACGAGGAGCUUGCUCCUCUGACGUUAGCGGCGGACGGGUGAGUAACACGUGGGUAACCUACCUAUAAGACUGGGAUAACUUCGGGAAACCGGAGCUAAUACCGGAUAAUAUAUUGAACCGCAUGGUUCAAUAGUGAAAGACGGUUUUGCUGUCACUUAUAGAUGGAUCCGCGCCGCAUUAGCUAGUUGGUAAGGUAACGGCUUACCAAGGCAACGAUGCGUAGCCGACCUGAGAGGGUGAUCGGCCAUACUGGAACUGAGACACGGUCCAGACUCCUACGGGAGGCAGCAGUAGGGAAUCUUCCGCAAUGGGCGAAAGCCUGACGGAGCAACGCCGCGUGAGUGAUGAAGGUCUUCGGAUCGUAAAACUCUGUUAUUAGGGAAGAACAAAUGUGUAAGUAACUAUGCACGUCUUGACGGUACCUAAUCAGAAAGCCACGGCUAACUACGUG